RNAcentral lists this ribosomal RNA (497 nucleotides) under uncultured bacterium. Its description in RNAcentral is "partial 16S ribosomal RNA". It matches the Rfam family "Bacterial small subunit ribosomal RNA", at positions 28 to 507 of the family's 1533-position model. The record is from RNAcentral.
GAUGAACGCUGGCGGCGUGCCUAAUACAUGCAAGUCGAGCGAACAGACGAGGAGCUUGCUCCUCUGACGUUAGCGGCGGACGGGUGAGUAACACGUGGAUAACCUACCUAUAAGACUGGGAUAACUUCGGGAAACCGGAGCUAAUACCGGAUAAUAUAUUGAACCGCAUGGUUCAAUAGUGAAAGACGGUUUUGCUGUCACUUAUAGAUGGAUCCGCGCCGCAUUAGCUAGUUGGUAAGGUAACGGCUUACCAAGGCGACGAUGCGUAGCCGACCUGAGAGGGUGAUCGGCCAAACUGGAACUGAGACACGGUCCAGACUCCUACGGGAGGCAGCAGUAGGGAAUCUUCCGCAAUGGGCGGAAGCCUGACGGAGCAACGCCGCGUGAGUGAUGAAGGUCUUCGGAUCGUAAAACUCUGUUAUUAGGGAAAAACAAAUGUGUAAGUAACUAUGCACGUCUUGACGGUACCUAAUCAGAAAGCCACGGCUAACUACGUG